CUCCAGACCCUCCAGAAGGGCAGGUGGGAAAGAAAAAUACAGAAUUGUAGGCAGGAUCCCUAACUUACCUGCAGUGUCAGUGGCCCCAUUGACUAGACUUACACUAUCAGUUAAAGAUUUAUGCUAUUUGUAGACUGUCCUAAUAAGAAAUACCAGAUGUCAUUGACUUACCUCUAAGACAGAUGUCUUUCUCUGUGCUCCAAAAUGACGUGUAUGAAACCAAGCUUCCACUUGGAAUGUUUUUCUUCUGCUGUUCGGGGUCGCUGGAGCUCAGCUACGGAUGAGUCCGAUUGGGAUGAGUCUGAUCAUAUUCAGGCCAACAUUUUCUGAAAAAUUAGAAGGAAGUGAGCCUGCAUGUGAUGAAAUUUUCAGGCUGUGAGCCUCCCUUUCCUAAAGCCAGUCCAGCACCUCCCAAAAGAUGGAAGAAGACUCCUUGAAAAGACCAGAAGUUGAUUUCAACAAGGAUGGUACCAGCCAAUGUCUUGAAUAACCCCUUGAAAGGAAGAGAAAUCCAGACAAAGGAUUGCUGGGUGGAAGAUCACCUCCUGAAAGCAUCACACAAAACCACACCACAGCAAAAUCAAGGUCUGGAUUACCUGCAAAUCAGUGUCCCCAUAAAAAGAGCACAGCCAAACUUUGAAGUCUCAUCCAGAGAAGCUAUACACAAGAAAUGUGAUGCAGCCAGGGGUGGCAAACCACCCUGCCCUGUGUGAUGGGACUGUGAGCGUCAGGGUGCCCCUGGCCAGCACAGCCCCGCUUCUGCCAAGGGAUGCCUAAGGCAGCCCCUCAACAGCAACCGCUGCUGCCACCUUCAGCUGCAGCCCCACCCCAUCAGGAGGAGAAGCCAGCUCCAUUCUCCACAGCCCUCCUGUGGAACUUCAUCUUGGCCCUGCCAUUUCAUCACAAAAUCCCUCCGAGCAGGAGGGAGGAAACAGCGAGCGGGGGAGAAAGAGGUGCGAGCAAAAAGAUGGGGAAAUGAAGAGAGCACCCCCUAAACCUCACAUCCCUUCCCCAAACCAGGCUGACCCCUCCUCAUCACCUUCCAUACUACCUAUUUUUUUACACUUUUGACUUAUUACCUCUGCUAAUCCUGCUGUAAUCCCCUACCUCUGUUCCCUGCUCCUGCAGUAUCCAGCCAUCCUUCCCUCGCCCCAUUCCUGCAUCCAGCUGGGAUGCUGCUGAGCCCUCCCUGCCUUCCCUCCCCCCAGCCAGCAGCCCCCUCCCCACCCACCCUCAGGACACCAACCCAGGGCUGCUGACCCCGCUGAAAUGCUUUAUGCUGACUCUGGCCUCAUCCUCUCUAGACUUCUUCUUUAAAAAUUAAAUAACUAUAUGUAUUUCUUUAGCUUUAAGUCUCUUUAGGUCGAAGAAGAGCUUCGGAAGGCAAUGCAUUUUUAAUGAAGGGUGGAAAACUGACAAACCAUUUUUAGAUACAGCUGUAAUAAAUAUUUUUUCUCUAUCUUUUUAAGGUUGGUU
This 1476-nucleotide long non-coding RNA is filed under the name Calidris pugnax (ruff). Its description in RNAcentral is "lncRNA (ENSCPUG00000012603.1)". Lineage: Eukaryota; Metazoa; Chordata; Aves; Charadriiformes; Scolopacidae. The record is from RNAcentral.